CCAGCCAUGCCGCGUGCAGGAUGACUGCCCUAUGGGUUGUAAACUGCUUUUAUACGGGAAGAAACGCACCUACGUGUAGGUGUCUGACGGUACCGUAAGAAUAAGGACCGGCUAACUCCGUGCCAGCAGCCGCGGUAAUACGGAGGGUCCGAGCGUUAUCCGGAAUCAUUGGGUUUAAAGGGUCCGUAGGCGGGCCGUUAAGUCAGGGGUGAAAGUCUGCGGCUCAACCGUAAAAUUGCCUUUGAUACUGGCGGUCUUGAGUCGUUGUGGAGUUGCCGGAACAUGUGGUGUAGCGGUGAAAUGCAUAGAUAUCACAUAGAACACCGAUCGCGAAGGCAGGUGACUAACAACGUACUGACGCUGAUGGACGAAAGCGUGGGUAGCGAACGGGAUUAGAUACCCCGGUAGUCCACGCCGUAAACGAUGGAUACUAGCUGUCGGGCCUUCGGGCUCGGCGGCCAAGCGAAAGUGAUAAGUAUCCCACCUGGGGAGUACGUUCGCAAGAAUGAAACUCAAAGGAAUUGACGGGGGCCCGCACAAGCGGUGGAGCAUGUGGUUUAAUUCGAUGAUACGCGAGGAACCUUACCAGGGCUUAAAUGUAGUGGGACAGGCUUAGAGAUAGGCUUUUCUUCGGACUCAUUACAAGGUGCUGCAUGGUUGUCGUCAGCUCGUGCCGUGAGGUGUCAGGUUAAGUCCUAUAACGAGCGCAACCCCUACCGUUAGUUGCCAGCGAGUCAAGUCGGGGACUCUAACGGGACUGCCGGUGCAAACCGUGAGGAAGGUGGGGACGACGUCAAAUCAUCACGGCCCUUACGUCCUGGGCCACACACGUGCUACAAUGGCCGGUACAGAGGGAAGCCACCCCGCGAGGGGGGAGCGGAUCUAUAAAACCGGUCACAGUUCGGAUCGGGGUCUGCAACUCGACCCCGUGAAGCUGGAAUCGCUAGUAAUCGGAUAUCAGCCAUGAUCCGGGUGAAUACGUUCCCGGGCCUUGUACACACCGCCCGUCAAGCCAUGGAAAGCCGGGAGUGC
This 1032-nucleotide ribosomal RNA is filed under the name marine bacterium HD-4. Its description in RNAcentral is "bacterial SSU rRNA". It matches the Rfam family "Bacterial small subunit ribosomal RNA", at positions 388 to 1420 of the family's 1533-position model. The record is from RNAcentral.